RNAcentral lists this long non-coding RNA (261 nucleotides) under Nicotiana tabacum (common tobacco). RNAcentral's name for it is "long non-coding RNA (NTAB_LNC008554)". The record is from RNAcentral. Lineage: Eukaryota; Viridiplantae; Streptophyta; Magnoliopsida; Solanales; Solanaceae.
AGUUUAUAAAUUAAAAUUUUAGGAUAUGACUUGAAUUUUUGUGGAUAUGAGUUGAACCUUUAGGAUAUGAAUUGAACCUUUAGGAUAUGAGUUGAACCUUUAGGAUAUGAAUUGAACCUUUAGGAUAUGAAUUGGACUUUUUGGUUUAUGUAUUGGAAUUUUAGUUUAUAAAUUGAAAUUUUAGGAUAUGACUUGAACUUUUGUGGAUAUGAGUUGAACCUUUAGGAUAUGAAUUGAAAUUUUAGGAUAUGAGUUGGACUU